AGGAGGAGUACACAGAGGAGGAGAAAGAGGCAGAGGCCGAGGAAGACCUGAAGCAGGAGGAGAACGUGCACAAAGAAGAAGAGGACCAAACUUAUCAAAUGACAUUCGUGCAACACUAGUGGACCAUGUUGUGAACCACGGAUUGACGCUGAGGGAGGCUGGACUGAGAGUUCAGCCAAAUCUUAGCAGAUAUACAGUGGCAUCUGUCAUAAGGACUUUUCGACAGGAAAACAGGAUUGAGGGUCGGGAACGACAAGGAGGAAGGGGGCCCAUAUUCACGCAAGAACAAGAGAGAGAGAUAAUAAACAUGGUUUUGGCCAAUAAUGCUAUCAGACUCAGAGAACUACAA
Sinocyclocheilus rhinocerous is the source of this 349-nucleotide long non-coding RNA. RefSeq lists it as uncharacterized. NCBI's taxonomy places the organism in Eukaryota, Metazoa, Chordata, Actinopteri, Cypriniformes, Cyprinidae. The transcript has 2 exons. The record is from RefSeq and is a predicted model, not a curated record.